This is a long non-coding RNA of Zalophus californianus (California sea lion), 1204 nucleotides long. RefSeq lists it as uncharacterized. The record is from RefSeq and is a predicted model, not a curated record. The transcript has 3 exons. NCBI's taxonomy places the organism in Eukaryota, Metazoa, Chordata, Mammalia, Carnivora, Otariidae.
UCCAGUCUGGAGCAUGGGCACUUCCAGCUGUGUCUGAGCGCCGGCAGAGGGGUCGUGCGUGGAUACGGAAAUUUCGGGCAUUGUUAGCAGAUGCUGCCAUCUCAAGGCAACACGAGGGUGAGACUAGAUGGAGAAAGGCAUGGACAGGGGCGAACCCUGAACCAAGCCGGCAUUAAGUAGCUGCAGACAAGAAACCAACAAAAUAAUGCCAAGGUGAGAAAAUAAAAUGCAGCUUCCGAUGAAUUGAGCAUACGUACAGUUAUAAAAAACAUGGAAACAGCGUGUGCAUUUGACCCUGCUGUCCUGUCACGAUUACUAAACACAUCACAAAGGACUAGACCUCCCCUUUCUUUUCUCCCCAUGUGUAUAAAAUGGGAAUCACAACACGCAUAUUUCUUGUGGUAGAGCUUGAGUCCUUUCGUUUGGGUGGACUUAGAGACUAAGUAUGGAAAGAGAAAAAGUGUAACUUGACAGCAGAGGAAACUGGCAGACAUCACCCUUACCACCUGAUCAAGGCUAGCGGCAUUGGUAAUUGUCAUGUUCACACCAGGUACCACAAGUACAAUACAACAAAACUAUUCUAUGAUGUCCUUCCCCAAAACCCCCAACUUCACUCAUAAAAAAAAAAAAAAAAAAAGAUCAGAUAUUGCAAAUUGAGGAACAUUGUAUAAAAUACCUGAUGAAUCCUCAUCAAAAGUGUUUGGAUCAUGAAAAACAAGAUAUGACAGAGCAAUUGUCAGAGAUGAGAGAAAACUAAACAUAAAAUGAUUAAAUGCAACUUGAUGCCCUGGAAUGGGAUGCUGCAAUACAAGGACGUUAGUUGGGGGGAAAAAUGUAGUAAAAUCAAAAUCGUUUGUAAGGUAAACAAUAUUAUACCAAUGUUAAUUUCUUAGCUUUGACAAAUGUAACAUAUAUCUGUAAAAUAUUAACAUGAGGUGAAACUGGGUGGAAGUUACAUGGGAACUCUAUAUCUGCCACUUUACACUAAAUCUAAAAUUGUUUAAAAAUAAAAAAAAUUUAAAAAGAACAAGGAGGGACUUCUAGCUUGACAAGAUGAGUAGUUAUGUGGACUCAUUCCCUAGUGAAACUGGUGAAGAAAGUUUUAAAACAAGUAAGCAAGGGCACCUGGGUGGCUCAAUCGUUAGGCGUCUGCCUUCGGCUCGGGUCAUGAUCCCAGGGUCCUGGGAUCGAGCCCCGCAUCGGG